UUUUUAAAAUGAUAAUUAAAAAAGGAAAUGCAUUUUAGAAAAACCUAAUAACAAUAAUUAAAAUGGUAAAAAUGAAAUUGAAGCCCCUAUUUAAGUUCAGUUGGUAUGGUGAAACAUAAUUGGGCCGUGAUUACAAAGAGAGAGGCUUGAGUGGAACCCUAAUUCCAUUCUUGAAGGUGCCACUGUCUCCUUGCUUCAAAGGAUUCGGCUUUGGUAUCUCAUCCUCACAAAUUGAAUUGGGUUGUCCUCAGUGAUAGCUUCCAAAAUUUACACUUGAUAUGAGCCCAUUUCUUGUUUUCUUUGAUUAUGUUAUAAACUUUCCACAGUUAUUUUGAGUUUUUUGAACUUUUUUUGCACAGUAUAUGCUUCUUGAUGAUGAAAAGCGAUGGUCUUUUAUUCUCCUUAGAAAGUGUGUAAAAAGAAAGUUCAAAUAGAACUGAGGCUUUCCUAGGGUUUUUCUUUUUGUUUGAUAGCAAUAGGAACCAUUUUCGGGAAUGAGUUGGUGUGUUUUGUAGUCCUAGGGUGUCUUUUUGUUUGAUAGUAGUAGGAAUGGAAUAUACAGAUUAUGGAUUUUUUCUUUCUCUCAUCCUCUAGUAAGUCCAUUCACGUCUAUUUUCCUUUAACCCUGAUUAAUAUUUACUCAUCGUGGAUUUUAUUGUUUUUUAAAACCAAAAGGCUCGUCAAUAUACUGAUAUUUAGUUUUUUAGGAUAAUAAUUUGAUAAAUUGUUCAUUUUAUUUUUUAUGAUAAAAUAAUGAUGGUUUUCUUUGAUUGAGUGUUGUGGGUGUGUAUGGAACCCAUUUGUAAAAUUAUUUGCAUAUUUAUAUCUUUAAAUGUUCUUCUUUCUAACAUUAAAAUUUUUAUAAUGCAUUUAUAAAAAUUAAACUUGACAACGGUAACCACCUUAAACUAUUUGUAAAAAUAAUGCAUAUAAUUAAAAAUUUAUUUAAGAAAACAUAAAUGGAUAAUAAUGUAUAUUUAGUGGAUCCAACAUAAAUGGAUAAUAAUGGAUAAUAAUGCAUAUAAUUAAAAAUUUAUUUCAAUUAGUUGGAUCCAUAGUGUUUUUGUUAAAAGGGGUCCUUUCAAACAAGACUUUUGAAUGAAUAUUUUUUUAAACUGUGAUUUUGGUCAUUUGAGAUACACCAGAAAAGAAUGUGUCUAUGAUGAGUAUUGAUAAGAAAUAAAAGUUGAAUAGUUAAAAACAUUUUAGAAAAACCUAAUAACAAUAAUAUAAAAAAUGUACUAAUGAAGAGGAAAGCUCUAUUUAAGUUCAACUGUUAUGGUGAAACAUAAUUGGACAAUGAUUACAAAGAGAGAGGCUUGAGUGGAAACCCUAAUUCCAUUCUUGAAUAAGGUGCCCAAUUUUCUUUCUUCAAAGGAUUUUAGCUUUGGUAACUGAUAUGAGCCUGUUUACACUUGUGACGGCUUUCAAAAUUUACACUUGAUAUGAGCCUGUUUCUUUUUUGUUUUCAUUAAUUAUGUUAUAAACUUCAGUAGUUAUUUUUGAGUUUUUUGUACUCUUUUUGCUUCUUGAUAAUGAAAUGGUUUGAUCUUCUUUUCUCCUUAGAUCAAUUGUAUACAGAAAGUUCAACUAGAUUUGUUCCUAACGAGGUUUUCCUAGGGUUUCCAUUUUUUGUUUGAUAGCAAGGGGAAACGUCUUUCGGACCGAGUUAGUGUGUUUUCUCUGACAAUGACCAGACAAUUGUAGGAAUGGUAUCUACAGAUGAUGGAUUUUUCUUUCUUCUCUCAUACUCUAAUGAUUUCAUCCAGCUGUAAGAAUCGUUUUCCAAAAUGAGUCCCUGUGUUUCCUUUGGGCAGCAAUCAGACAAAUGUAGGAAUGGUAUCUACAUUUUUCUUUCUUCUCUAAUACCAUACUGAUUCCAUCCAGGUAUGUUUUCUUUCAACCCUGACUAAUAUUUUGUCAUCGUGGAUCCUAUUCCUUGUAGGCUCGACAAUAUGGUGAUAUUUUGUUUUUUGUAGAUAAUGAUUUUAUAAAUUAUUUAUUUUAUUUUUUAGGCCAAAGUAAUAAUGAUUUUCUUUUCCUCAUGUUUGAAUGUUGUGGGUGUUGAAUGAGAUGCAUUUGCAAAAAGUAUUUGCAUAUCUACAUUUUUAAUUUGUCCUCUUUCUUAUGGUGUUAGGGAAUAUUAUUAACACAAAUAUGGAUGGUUACAUAUAAAAAUUUAUACAUUUAACUGUUUAUAAUGCAUUUACAAAUAUUAAACUUCACAGUACACAUUAAACUAUUUAUAAGAAAUUUAUAAAAGUAAUUCAUAUAAUUAAAAAGUUAUUUAAAAAAAAUAUUGAUGGAUAAUAAGAUCUAUUCCGUGAAACUAAAAUUCAAAAUUUAUUUCAAUUUAGUUUGAUAAAAAAGUGUUUUUGUUCGAAAGGGUUCUUUUAAGCUUGACAUCUGCUUUAAUAUUUUUUUAACAGUGAUUUUUUUCGUUUGAGACUAGAAAAGAUUGAAUGGUUGACAAUAUUUUACAAAAACGUAAAAACAUAAUUGUACAGUGAUUACAAAAAGAGAAGCUUGAGUGAGAAUCUUAAUUCCAUUCUUGAACAGGGUGCUAUCAUCCCCUUGCUUCCAAGGAUUUGACUUUGGUAUCUCAUCUCCAUAAACUGAAUUUGGUUUAC
Vigna unguiculata (cowpea) is the source of this 2630-nucleotide long non-coding RNA. The record is from RefSeq and is a predicted model, not a curated record. Lineage: Eukaryota; Viridiplantae; Streptophyta; Magnoliopsida; Fabales; Fabaceae.